CAUAAAUUUGUUUAUUUGUUUAUGCCCAACUUCGAUUGUCCGUCUUAUUUAAUUUUUUUUAUGAUUAGUAUUUUUUAUUGUUAUUAGAUGAUAAAACAUAAAUAAUACUUUAUGUGUGACUUAGGUUUUUAAUUUUUUUAAAUUUUUUUUAAAAAUAAGACGGACGAUCAAAGCUGCGCACGGAAAAUGAUAGAUGCACUUAAA
Molecule: microRNA precursor, 204 nt
Organism: Oryza rufipogon (brownbeard rice)
Lineage: Eukaryota; Viridiplantae; Streptophyta; Magnoliopsida; Poales; Poaceae
Rfam family: MIR812 microRNA precursor family
Source: Rfam